RNAcentral lists this ribosomal RNA (1468 nucleotides) under metagenome. RNAcentral describes it as "bacterial SSU rRNA". It matches the Rfam family "Bacterial small subunit ribosomal RNA". The record is from RNAcentral.
AGAGUUUGAUCCUGGCUCAGAACGAACGCUGGCGGCAGGCUUAACACAUGCAAGUCGAACGCGUGUAGCAAUUCACGAGUGGCGCACGGGUGAGUAACGCGUGGAUAUCUGCCUUUUGGUUCGGAAUAACUCCGGGAAACUGGAGCUAAUACCGGAUGGUUCCUACGGGAUAAAGAUUUAUCGCCAAAAGAUGAGUCCGCGUACGAUUAGCUAGUUGGUGAGGUAAUGGCUCACCAAGGCGACGAUCCGUAGCUGGUCUGAGAGGACGACCAGCCACACUGGAACUGAGACACGGUCCAGACUCCUACGGGAGGCAGCAGUGGGGAAUUUUGGACAAUGGGCGCAAGCCUGAUCCAGCAAUGCCGCGUGCAGGAUGAAGGCCUUCGGGUUGUAAACUGCUUUUGUACGGAACGAAACGGUCUCGGUUAAUACCUGGGGCUAAUGACGGUACCGUAAGAAUAAGCACCGGCUAACUACGUGCCAGCAGCCGCGGUAAUACGUAGGGUGCGAGCGUUAAUCGGAAUUACUGGGCGUAAAGCGUGCGCAGGCGGUAAUGUAAGACAGAUGUGAAAUCCCCGGGCUCAACCUGGGAACUGCAUUUGUGACUGCAUUGCUGGAGUGCGGCAGAGGGGGAUUGAAUUCCGCGUGUAGCAGUGAAAUGCGUAGAUAUGCGGAGGAACACCGAUGGCGAAGGCAAUCCCCUGGGCCUGCACUGACGCUCAUGCACGAAAGCGUGGGGACAAACAGGAUUAGAUACCCUGGUAGUCCACGCCCUAAACGAUGUCAACUGGUUGUUGGGUCUUCACUGACUCAGUAACGAAGCUAACGCGUGAAGUUGACCGCCUGGGGAGUACGGCCGCAAGGUUGAAACUCAAAGGAAUUGACGGGGACCCGCACAAGCGGUGGAUGAUGUGGUUUAAUUCGAUGCAACGCGAAAAACCUUACCCACCUUUGACAUGUAUGGAAUCCUUUAGAGAUAGAGGAGUGCUCGAAAGAGAGCCAUAACACAGGUGCUGCAUGGCUGUCGUCAGCUCGUGUCGUUAGAUGUUGGGUUAAGUCCCGCAACGAGCGCAACCCUUGUCAUUAGUUGCUACAUUUAGUUGGGCACUCUAAUGAGACUGCCGGUGAUAAACCGGAGGAAGGUGGGGAUGACGCCAAGUCCUCAUGGCCCUUAUAGGUGGGGCUACACACGUCAUACAAUGGCUGGUACAAAGGGUUGCCAACCCGCGAGGGGGAGCUAAUCCCAUAAAACCAGUCGUAGUCCGGAUCGCAGUCUGCAACUCGACUGCGUGAAGUCGGAAUCGCUAGUAAUCGUGGAUCAGAAUGUCACGGUGAAUACGUUCCCGGGUCUUGUACACACCGCCCGUCACACCAUGGGAGCGGGUUCUGCCAGAAGUAGUUAGCCUAACCGCAAGGAGGGCGAUUACCACGGCAGGGUUCGUGACUGGGGUGAAGUCGCAACAAGGUA